AAUGAACGUUGGCGGCAUGGAUUAGGCAUGCAAGUCGAGCGAGAAGGGUUUUUGCUUGCAUCAACCUGGAAAGCGGCGAAAGGGUGAGUAACGCGUAGUUACCUGCCCCAGGGUUGGGAAUAGCCUCGGGAAACUGAGGGUAAUGCCCAAUAACAUCUCCGGAUCAAAGGUGAGAUUCCGCCCUGGGAGGGGACUGCGUACUACUAGCUUGUUGGUGGGGUAAUGGCCUACCAAGGCGACGAUGGUUAGCGGGCGUGAGAGCGUGGCCCGUCACACUGGGACUGAGACACUGCCCAGACACCUACGGGUGGCUGCAGUCGAGAAUCUUCGGCAAUGCGCGAAAGCGUGACCGAGCAAUGCCGCGUGCGGGAUGAAGGCCCUCGGGUUGUAAACCGCGAAAGUGAGUAGGAAGGACCUGUGAAGAGCAGGUUUUGACCGAUACACAGUAAGGACGGGCUAAGUUCG
Molecule: ribosomal RNA, 465 nt
Filed under: uncultured Planctomycetaceae bacterium
Lineage: Bacteria; Pseudomonadati; Planctomycetota; Planctomycetia; Planctomycetales; Planctomycetaceae
Description: bacterial SSU rRNA
Rfam family: Bacterial small subunit ribosomal RNA
Source: RNAcentral